Salvia splendens (bonfire salvia) is the source of this 432-nucleotide long non-coding RNA. RefSeq lists it as uncharacterized. The transcript has 4 exons. The record is from RefSeq and is a predicted model, not a curated record. Lineage: Eukaryota; Viridiplantae; Streptophyta; Magnoliopsida; Lamiales; Lamiaceae.
GGAUUCUGUAUUGAACUUUCACCACUUAUAAUUCACGCAAAAACCUAUCUGAAGAAGGCGAAAUUCACAAUGGUCGAAACAAGACUUUCGAAAUUGAAAGAUGGAAUUUGAUAUCUGGUGAAGUCUAGACAAGUUUUUGAAAUGAAAUCGUUGAACACAUGUAAAACAAUUGAUGUCCGUGUAAAGCUUGGGGUGGACAUUCCAGUAGGACGGACCCGAGAUUGUCGUUCGUGAUUGAGGAAACGACUGGUUGGGGGUGGGCAAUCCUGUAGGCCGGACCCAAGAUUGUUGCUCGUAAUUGAGGAAACGACUGAAGUGUGAUGCCAAGAAGACUAUUGCAAAGAGGAAUGUCAAGGCCAGGCGCAUAGUUGCAUAUGAAGGGAAAAAACUGAUGCAUUGUUGGCAAAAGUCAAAACAAGAAAUUAAUUCAAG